CCGCUGGAUUUAAGCAUAUAAUUAAGCGGAGGAAAAGAAACUAACCAGGAUUCCCCCAGUAAGGGCGACUGAAGCGGGAAUAGCUCUACUUGUGAAUCUGCGCUGUGCGCCGAAUUGUGGUCUGUUUGCGCUACGUGGGUCCGGGCCAAGUCCCUUGGAAAAGGGCAGCCGAGAGGGUGAGACUCCCGUCCGCCUGGACCCCUGAGCAAGCAUAGCUGAGUCGAGUUGUUUGGGAUUGCAGCUCAAAGCGGGUGGUAAAUUCCAUCGAAAGCUAAAUAUUGGUGGGAGACCGAUAGCGUACAAGUACCGUGAGGGAAAGAUGCAAAGAACUUUGAAAAGAGAGUUAAAGAGUACCUGAAAUUGCUGAAAGGGAAGCGAAGGAAACCAGUGGGCUUCCCGGUCAUACUUUUSUGUUCGCUUGCGGACAGGGCGCUGUGGCYGGGUUCACGUCAGRCUUGGUUGGAUUUGCCGUAUAGGUGUGUUUGGGAGUUGACCUUUCACACUUGCGGCUGGUGCGACCGAGGCUGACGAAAUGGUUUUCUUUACCCCGUCUUGAAACCGGAAACCAAGGA
RNAcentral lists this ribosomal RNA (572 nucleotides) under Plagiostriata goreensis. RNAcentral's name for it is "eukaryotic LSU rRNA". It matches the Rfam family "Eukaryotic large subunit ribosomal RNA", at positions 25 to 672 of the family's 3401-position model. The record is from RNAcentral. Lineage: Eukaryota; Bacillariophyta; Fragilariophyceae; Staurosirales; Staurosiraceae.